UACGGAGGGGGCUAGCGUUGUUCGGCAUUACUGGGCGUAAAGCGCACGUCGGCGGAUAGUUAAGUUAGAGGUGAAAGCCCAGGGCUCAACCCUGGAACUGCCUUUAAUACUGGCUGUCUAGAGAUCGAGAGAGGUGAGUGGAAUUCCGAGUGUAGAGGUGAAAUUCGUAGAUAUUCGGAGGAACACCAGUGGCGAAGGCGGCUCACUGGCUCGAUACUGACGCUGAGGUGCGAAAGCGUGGGGAGCAAACAGG
RNAcentral lists this ribosomal RNA (253 nucleotides) under uncultured bacterium. RNAcentral's name for it is "partial 16S ribosomal RNA". It matches the Rfam family "Bacterial small subunit ribosomal RNA", at positions 524 to 776 of the family's 1533-position model. The record is from RNAcentral.